AGAAUCCUCUUCAUCUUAACUCAAUAAAAAAACAAACAAACACCACCAAACAUAAUUGAAAAAACAAAAUGAAAAUCAACGGUGGCGCGUGCAUGACACGCGCCACACUGGAAAGGAGUCAUUCGACCGGUCAAGACGUUGCCGGAGUCAUUGGGCCCUGAGCUACCGCGCAUGGCGUCAACAAAAGAUGAAUAGCGGUGGUUUGAGAACCUCACGCGUUUCCUUUAAAACGCGCGUCGGCGCAACGCGCCGCUCUGAUUGGCUCCCAAUCCGGUCGAUCGUAAGAUCGACAGGUGAGGCUUCUCCCUGUGGUGCGCGUGUCGGACCGUGGUCAUCAGAGGAGCUCGAAACGGCUACCCCCUUUAUUCGGCCAAAAACCUGAAAAAAAAAAAAACAAAAAAACAAAAAAACCAAACCAAAACAAUCGGACACGAAGCACGGGUGAGGAAAGGGAGGAGAGGAAGAAGAAGAAGGAGCCGAAGCUCCCCUUCCCC
Juglans microcarpa x Juglans regia is the source of this 494-nucleotide long non-coding RNA. RefSeq lists it as uncharacterized. NCBI's taxonomy places the organism in Eukaryota, Viridiplantae, Streptophyta, Magnoliopsida, Fagales, Juglandaceae. The transcript is spliced from 4 exons. The record is from RefSeq and is a predicted model, not a curated record.